UACGGAGGGUGCAAGCGUUGUUCGGAAUUACUGGGCGUAAAGGGCGUGUAGGUGGUAGGGUAUGUCAGAUGUGAAAGCCCUGGGCUCAACCCAGGAAGUGCAUUUGAAACUACCCUUCUUGAGUAUGGGAGAGGAGAGUGGAAUUCCCAGUGUAGAGGUGAAAUUCGUAGAUAUUGGGAGGAACACCAGUGGCGAAGGCGGCUCUCUGGACCAAGACUGACGCUGAGAUGCGAAAGCGUGUGGAGGACACAGG
Molecule: ribosomal RNA, 253 nt
Filed under: uncultured bacterium
Lineage: Bacteria
Description: partial 16S ribosomal RNA
Rfam family: Bacterial small subunit ribosomal RNA
Source: RNAcentral